Molecule: ribosomal RNA, 497 nt
Filed under: uncultured bacterium
Lineage: Bacteria
Description: partial 16S ribosomal RNA
Rfam family: Bacterial small subunit ribosomal RNA
Source: RNAcentral
GAUGAACGCUGGCGGCGUGCCUAAUACAUGCAAGUCGAGCGAACGGACGAGAAGCUUGCUUCUCUGAUGUUAGCGGCGGACGGGUGAGUAACACGUGGAUAACCUACCUAUAAGACUGGGAUAACUUCGGGAAACCGGAGCUAAUACCGGAUGAUAUUUUGAACCGCAUGGUUCAAAAGUGAAAGACGGUCUUGCUGUCACUUAUAGAUGGAUCCGCGCUGCAUUAGCUAGUUGGUAAGGUAACGGCUUACCAAGGCAACGAUGCAUAGCCGACCUGAGAGGGUGAGCGGCCACCCUGGAACUGAGACACGGUCCAGACUCCUACGGGAGGCAGCAGUAGGGAAUCUUCCGCAAUGGGCGAAAGCCUGACGGAGCAACGCCGCGUGAGUGAUGAAGGUCUUCGGAUCGUAAAACUCUGUUAUUAGGGAAGAACAUAUGUGUAAGUAACUGUGCACAUCUUGACGGUACCUAAUCAGAAAGCCACGGCUAACUACGUG